GACGAACGCUGGCGGCGUGCUUAACACAUGCAAGUCGAACGGAAAGGCCCUGCUUUUGUGGGGUGCUCGAGUGGUGAACGGGUGAGUAACACGUGAGUAACCUGCCCUUGGCUUUGGGAUAACUUCAGGAAACUGGGGCUAAUACCGGAUAGGAGCUCCUGCUGCAUGGUGGGGGUUGGAAAGUUUCGGCGGUUGGGGAUGGACUCGCGGCUUAUUAGCUUGUUGGUGGGGUAGUGGCUUACCAAGGCUUUGACGGGUAGCCGGCCUGAGAGGGUGACCGGCCACAUUGGGACUGAGAUACGGCCCAGACUCCUACGGGAGGCAGCAGUGGGGAAUAUUGCACAAUGGGCGGAAGCCUGAUGCAGCAACGCCGCGUGCGGGAUGACGGCCUUCGGGUUGUAAACCGCUUUCGCCUGUGACGAAGCGUGAGUGACGGUAAUGGGUAAAGAAGCACCGGCUAACUACGUG
This 468-nucleotide ribosomal RNA is filed under the name uncultured bacterium. Its description in RNAcentral is "partial 16S ribosomal RNA". It matches the Rfam family "Bacterial small subunit ribosomal RNA", at positions 28 to 507 of the family's 1533-position model. The record is from RNAcentral.